Molecule: ribosomal RNA, 253 nt
Filed under: uncultured bacterium
Lineage: Bacteria
Description: partial 16S ribosomal RNA
Rfam family: Bacterial small subunit ribosomal RNA
Source: RNAcentral
GACAGAGGUCCCGAGCGUUAGGCGGAAUCACUGGGCUUAAAGCGUGUGUAGGUGGACUUCUAAGUACCUUGUGAAAUCCCACGGCUUAACCGUGGAACUGCUUGGUAUACUGGUUGUCUUGGGCCAUCUAGGGGCUACUGGAACAAACGGUGGAGCGGUGAAAUGCGUAGAUAUCGUUUGGAACGCCAAUGGUGAAAACAAGUAGCUGGGGAUGUGCCGACGCUGAGACACGAAAGCCAGGGGAGCGAACGGG